RNAcentral lists this transfer RNA (60 nucleotides) under Baylisascaris ailuri (red panda roundworm). Its description in RNAcentral is "tRNA-Met". Lineage: Eukaryota; Metazoa; Nematoda; Chromadorea; Rhabditida; Ascarididae. The record is from RNAcentral.
AAUAAGAUAGGGAUAAGUUAGUCUGUAAGGUUCAUAUUCUUUUGGUGUUUUCUCUUGUUA